GAUAAUCUAAUUGGUGGCUUGAGUUCUCCAACCUGUAAAACCCAAAAUGGGCGUGGGUUUCUUCUCUUUUGAUUCUCUUUCUUCUUUAGUUUUUUUAAAUUCUCUCUUUAGAUGCAGGCCAAUUUGGGUUUCUUGUUCUUUUUUUUUUUUUGCUGAUUUGAUUUUGGAUGCUUGCUAUUUGGUAUUUUUAUUAUUGGUUGAGAUUUAAUGGGUCUAAAAUGUUUAGGGGUCUUGUCAAUGGAGUGACGGUGAGUGAUGUUGGUGUGGUGAUUAAAUGAUAGUGAGCUUGUGGAGGUGACCAACGUUGAGGGUGGUGGUGAGAGAGCUGUGAAGGAUGAAGAAAAAUGGUGAAAAAGCCCCCCUUUUCUCUUUCCAUUUUUUGUUGUUCAUGGUGGUGAGUGAGAGGGAUGAUAGGAAAAUGUCCAGCGUGGCAAGUUAAUUG
Molecule: long non-coding RNA, 442 nt
Filed under: Gossypium raimondii (Peruvian cotton)
Lineage: Eukaryota; Viridiplantae; Streptophyta; Magnoliopsida; Malvales; Malvaceae
Description: long non-coding RNA (GRAI_LNC005218)
Source: RNAcentral